GGGACACAUGGACGAAGUCUGAUGGAGCAUGCCGCGUGAGUGAAGAAGGGUUUCGGCUCGUAAAACUCUGUUGUUAAAGAAGAACACCUUUGAGAGUAACUGUUCAAGGGUUGACGGUAUUUAACCAGAAAGCCACGGCUAACUACGUGCCAGCAGCCGCGGUAAUACGUAGGUGGCAAGCGUUGUCCGGAUUUAUUGGGCGUAAAGCGAGCGCAGGCGGUUUUUUAAGUCUGAUGUGAAAGCCUUCGGCUUAACCGGAGAAGUGCAUCGGAAACUGGGAGACUUGAGUGCAGAAGAGGACAGUGGAACUCCAUGUGUAGCGGUGGAAUGCGUAGAUAUAUGGAAGAACACCAGUGGCGAAGGCGGCUGUCUAGUCUGUAACUGACGCUGAGGCUCGAAAGCAUGGGUAGCGAACAGGAUUAGAUACCCCGGGUAGUCCCA
Molecule: ribosomal RNA, 441 nt
Filed under: Levilactobacillus brevis
Lineage: Bacteria; Bacillati; Bacillota; Bacilli; Lactobacillales; Lactobacillaceae
Description: bacterial SSU rRNA
Rfam family: Bacterial small subunit ribosomal RNA
Source: RNAcentral